GACGAACGCUGCGGCGUGCUUAACACAUGCAAGUCGAACGGAAAGGCCCCCACUUUUUUGGUGGGGGUGCUCGAGUGGCGAACGGGUGAGUAACACGUGGGUGAUCUGCCCUGUACUUCGGGAUAAGCUUGGGAAACUGGGUCUAAUACCGGAUAGGACCAUGGUUUAGUGUCUCAUGGUGGAAAAAUUAUUGUUUUGGUGCAGGAUGAGCUCGCGGCCUAUCAGCUUGUUGGUGGGGUAAUGGCCUACCAAGGCGUCGACGGGUAGCCGGCCUGAGAGGGUGGACGGCCACAUUGGGACUGAGAUACGGCCCAGACUCCUACGGGAGGCAGCAGUGGGGAAUAUUGCACAAUGGGCGCAAGCCUGAUGCAGCGACGCCGCGUGGGGGAUGACGGCCUUCGGGUGGGAAACUCCUUUCGUUAGGGACGAAGCCGCACCUUUUUUGGGUGUGGUGACGGUACCUUUGUUAAGAAGCACCGGCUAACUACGUG
This 491-nucleotide ribosomal RNA is filed under the name uncultured bacterium. Its description in RNAcentral is "partial 16S ribosomal RNA". It matches the Rfam family "Bacterial small subunit ribosomal RNA", at positions 28 to 507 of the family's 1533-position model. The record is from RNAcentral.